AGUGGCAAACGGGUGAGUAUAAUGUGGGAAUCUGCCUUUUGGUCUGGAAUAACACGGGGAAACCUGUGCUAAUACCGGAUAAGCCUUCACAGGGAAAGUUUUAAUGCCAAAAGAUGAGCCCGCACUUGAUUAGCUAGUUGGUAAGGUAAUAGCUUACCAAGGCUACGAUCAAUAGCUGUUCUUAGAGGAAGACCAGCCACAUUGGGACUGAGACACGGCCCAAACUCCUACGGGAGGCAGCAGUGGGGAAUCUUGCACAAUGGGGGAAACCCUGAUGCAGCGAUGCCGCGUGAGUGAAGAAGGCCUUUGGGUUGUAAAACUCUUUCGUCGGGGAAGAAAAUGACUGUACCCGAAUAAGAAGGUCCGGCUAACUUCGUGCCAGCAGCCGCGGUAAUACGAAGGGACCUAGCGUAGUUCGGAAUUACUGGGCUUAAAGAGUUCGUAGGUGGUUAAAAAAGUUGAUGGUGAAAUCCCAAGGCUCAACCUUGGAACUGCCAUCAAAACUUUUUAGCUAGAGUAUGAUAGAGGAAAGUGGAAUUUCUAGUGUAGAGGUGAAAUUCGUAGAUAUUAGAAAGAACAUCAAAUGCGAAGGCAACUUUCUGGAUCAUUACUGACACUGAUGAACGAAAGCAUGUGUAGCGAGAGGAAUAGAUACCCUCGUAGUCCAUGCCGA
RNAcentral lists this ribosomal RNA (673 nucleotides) under uncultured bacterium. RNAcentral's name for it is "bacterial SSU rRNA". It matches the Rfam family "Bacterial small subunit ribosomal RNA", at positions 94 to 803 of the family's 1533-position model. The record is from RNAcentral.